ACCGCUUUUCGUAAGAUCUUCAAAGUUAAGCAAUGUCGAGCCUGGUCAGUACCUAGAUGAGUGACCGCUUGGAAAUAUCAGGUGCUGUAAG
Non-coding RNA from Acanthosepion pharaonis, 91 nucleotides. The record is from the annotation of a GenBank genome assembly. NCBI's taxonomy places the organism in Eukaryota, Metazoa, Mollusca, Cephalopoda, Sepiida, Sepiidae.